Molecule: long non-coding RNA, 465 nt
Organism: Falco peregrinus (peregrine falcon)
Lineage: Eukaryota; Metazoa; Chordata; Aves; Falconiformes; Falconidae
Exons: 2
Source: RefSeq, a predicted model, not a curated record
CCCCUCGUUACGCCGAGUUGCCUAGCAACACACCCAAACCAGCCUAAUGAAAACCUGGGGUUACUUCCACAGUACAGUAAUGUUCAUACACGCAGUGUGUUUCUAGGAUGUCGGUAAGCAACGCCACAACACUUCCUCUUAAGAAAUACUACUAACAUUUACAGCCACCUCGCAUGUGUGAUCUGGCAGAGGGCAGACAACACCCCAGAGCACAAGAUCUCCAGCGGCUCAGGAAUCAGAAAGGGCUUUUUGUGUUAUCCUAGAGCUUCACUGACCAGAUAAACAGCAGACAAGAAUCAUUAACGCCUGGUACCAAGCAAGAAAACUCCACAUGAGAGAAAGCCAAUUCUUACCGAAGCCCUGUGUAUCUGAAAACAUGAUUGUGUUUUAUACUGUCUCAUUUUUCAUAUUCAAGAUAUAUGCAGCUAUAACCUAAGCAAUGCUGUACAUAAAUAUUAUUCUUGA